Long non-coding RNA from Equus caballus (horse), 5429 nucleotides. Lineage: Eukaryota; Metazoa; Chordata; Mammalia; Perissodactyla; Equidae. The record is from Ensembl.
GGUGGGAUCACUUAUAUUUGUCGCUCCGUUGCUGUCGGCACCCACCGAAUCUCACUUGUCCUCUAUGGGUCGCAGGAGAGCUAUUGGCAUCUUCUACAGUCUGUGGUUAGUACACCUAGCUAUGCUGCUUUUGCCCUGGGGUCUUCCAGCCUUGUGGCUGGCGGCUGGGUGCCUUCUACUGGUGCUGUGCAGAGGCUUUCCCUAAGGCUGCUGUGAGCCUGUAGGGUUUCCCCCUAGGCUACUAAGCUGGGUCUCUGGAACUCUCUCCAGCCCCAGUCCUCUCCGAGAUCUCCGGCAAUCCCUAGUCUCACGGGGCGGGCAACGGCAGCUGGGGGUCGCCCCGCCCUCUGGGCUUCUCUCCGGGCCUCUCCCGGGAGCCCUGAAUGCUGGACGUGGCCCCUCUGGUAAUGGCAGACAGAGAGUUUUGUCUGCUGCCUGGCGGAACUCCGGCGCUUCCCCUCCGGGUCGCAGAACCGGCCUUUGAAAGUUCCCCCCGCCCCGGUCCUCUCCGAGAUCUCUGGCAAUCCCUAGCCCCACGGGGCGGGCAACAGCAGCUGGGAGUCGCCCCGCCCUCUGGGCUUCUCUCCGGGCCUCUCCCGGAGCCGUGAAUGCUCAGCGUGGCCCCUCUGCUAAUGGCAGACAGAGAGUUUUGUCUGCUGCCCAGGCGGAGCUCUGGCGCUUCCCCUCCAGGUUGCAGAACCGGCCUUUGAAAGUUCCCCCAGCCCCGGUCCUCUCCGAGAUUUCCGGCAAUCCCUAGUCCCACGGGGCAGGCAACGGCAGCUGGGAGACCUCCGUACCCUCCGUGACUCUCUCUGGGACCCUCCGGGCGCCCCGAGCACCAGGCUGGGUCUCCCCGCCAAUGGUGGGGAGAGACUCUCCCCGCGGGCUCAGGUGUGCAACUCCAAAGUUUCCCUCUGCGUUUAGGAGUAAUUGCGGGGGGUUUAGGUAGGGUUCUGGUCACCUGUUUCCACCGUCGCUCCUCUGUUGUGUUCUCGCUCCUGCCCUAGAUGUAUGUGGAUCCUCUGGGGGCGUCUGUUGGAAGAAAGCCGCUUGCGGGUACUAGGCUGCCUGUCGGGGUCGGAGAGUUUUCACCUAUUUCCCCAUCCUCCCGGAGGAAAGUCCGUCCGCCUUCCGAUGUAUAGUCGCGUGGGUGUCUCAGACGUCCUGAGAUGCUGUCUGGAUAUCCUUUGUCAAGCGAUAAGUGUCCAAAUAAUUGUAGACUCGAAGGGCGAGAGACAAAGAGGACUACUCACGGCGCCAUCUUGGAUCUUCUCCCUCUUAUUCUUUUUUCAAGAACAAACUUUUGACUUGGUUGUUGCUUUCAAUUGUUAUGUUUAUUUUCUAUUGUCCUCAUUUUGGCUUUUAUUUUAUUGUUUCCCUCCUUGUACUUUCUUAUAGUGAUUCUGGGGGAAUUUCUUGUUGCUGUGCUAGUGUGUAGGAUAUCUUCCAUUUGCCCCACUGGAUGUACUCUCUACCGUUUUCAUACCGAGAGAGUGACUUGUCCUCUACUCCUGUAGUUGUGUAUAAACUGCAUCAAUGGGCUCACUUGCUCUCUGGCUUGCAAUUGGGUCCAACCAAUGCAGCAUCUAGGCAGGAGAUUGGAGAGAGAAAAUAGAAUGAGGUCAUGAUAUUUAUUCCCAUGGCUCCCUUCUGGCAGGAUUGCUUCAGUCUGGCUAGUGUUUUCAGUUGAAGGUCACUGUCUCAACUCUCUCUUCAGGUAAUGGUAACCUUUCCAUUUCCUUGUUCCCUUCAGGCUAGGAACAGUAAUGGCAGUGCUAUUACUAGUCCCAGACUACUGAAUUAUCCCUUGUGGUUCUGCCCUCUGCCCAUACCUUUGUAAAUAGUCUUUUUAUUAAACUCUCCUCUAAUGUUCCUAAUUUGAAUGAGCUGUCUAUUUCCUGCCAGGUGCCUACUUGAUAAACCUAGAGACUAUUAUGACUGGUACAUGUUCUUAAUUUAAAGUCAAGUUAAUCAUUAUCUUUACACUCCUCCCAAAUAAGAGAAAUACAUUAGAUCAGCAAGAUUGCAGGAUACAAGAUUAAUACACAAAAAUCAGUUUAUUUCUAUACAUUUGCAAUUAACAAUCCAGAAGUGAAAUUAAGAAAACAAUUCCUUUUACAAUAAGAUAGAAAAGAAUAAGUUACUUGGGAGUAAAUUUAACAAAAGAAAGACUGGAGGAUUAUGCACUGAAAACUAUAAAAUAUUGUUAGAAAUUUUUCAAAAGUAAAUGGAAAAAUAUUUCCAUGUUCAUGGAUUAGAAGACAUAAUAUUGUUAAGAUGGCAUUACGACCCAAAUUGACCUACAGAUUCAAUGCAACUGAUACCAGACCUCUUAAUCUCAAGUUCCUGUGCCCAAUGCACAGCAAGCCAAACCCUGAGACAUCAGUGCUUGGCGAUAGAGAAGAUUUAUUCAAAUUGGCCCAAACAAGAAGGCAGGAGCCUGGGUUUGCUCAAAUCUGCCUUCCCAAGAACAGAAAGCAGGGAGUUUUAUAGAGCUAAGGGGCUUGGCAGGAGGAGCUUUGGAGAAACAAAGGGAUCACUCCAGAUAAGCCCCUGGGCAGUCUGACUCCCGGGCCUCAGGGCAGGAUCUGGUGAUUGCAUCCUCCCCUAAGGCAUUCUCUUUCUUCUGCUAAACAAACUCACAAAUCCUUCCUCCGCAAGUUCAACAAGAAAACAGCAAAUUGACAAGAUUCGUCUAUGUCUGUGUUGGGGAACAAGGUCAAAAGGCAAUCAUGUUCUUAGUAUCUACAGUAACCCUCAGGUACUGACUUCACAAUCUCUAUCAAAAUUCCAGCUGCUGUUUUUUUAGAGAAAUUGACAACUUGACCCUAAAGUUAAUAUGAAAAUUCAAGGGACCCAGAAUAGCCAAAACAAUUUUGAAAAAGAAGAACAAAGCUGGAGGAUUCACACAUCCUGAUUUCAAAACUUAAUAUAAAGCUUCAAUAAUCAAGAGAGUGUAGUACUGACAUAAGGAUAGACAUAAAUUAAUGGAAUAGAACUGAAAGUCCAGAAAUAAACUGUUAUAUUUACGGUCAAUUGAGUUUUGGAAAAGGUGCCAAGGGAGUCCAAUGGGGAACAUUUUUAAGAAACGUUGUGGGGACAACAGGAUAUCUAUCUGCAAAAGAAAGAUUGUGAACCUCUAUUUCAUGCAAUAUAAAAAAAUCAACUCAAUGAAUCAAAGAUUUAAAUAGGAGCUAAAACUAUAAAAUUCUUAGAAGAAAACAAAGGCGUAAAUCUUUGUGACCUUGGACUAGAUAAUGGUUUCUUAGAAGACACCUACAGCACAUGUAAACAAAGAAAAGCAGAUAAAUUGGACUUCCUCAAAAUUGAACACUUUUGUGCUUCAAAGGACACUAUCAAUAAAAUGAAAAGACAACCCACAGAAUGGAAGAAAAUAUUUGCAAAUCAAAUAUCUGAUGAGAGUCUAGUAUCCAGAAUAUAUAAAGAACUCUUAGAACUCAACCAUAAAAAGCCAACCCAAUCAAAAAAUGGGCAAAGGAGAUAAGUAGACGUUUCUCCAAAGAAGUAUACAGAUGGCCAAUAGACACAUGAAACAUCAACAUCGUUAGUCACUAGGGAAAUGCAAAUCAAAACCACAAUGAGAUACCACUUCACCCCCACUAUGUUGGUGUCUUAGUCUGCUUGGGCUGCUAUAACAAAAUGCCAUAAACUGAGUGGCUUAUAGACAACAGAAAUGUAUUUCUCACAGUUCUGGAGGCUGGGAAGUCCAAGAUCAAGUGCCGGCAGAUUCCAUGUCUGGUGAGAGCCUGCUUCCUAGGUAGCUGUCUUUUCACCGUAACCCCACGUGUCAGAAGGGAUGAGGGAUCUCUCUGGGGUCUCUUUUAUAAGGGUACUAAUCCCAUUCAUGAGGGCUCCAUCUUCAUGACCUAAUCACCUACCAAAGGCCCCACCUCCUAAUGCCAUCACCUUGGGUGUUAGGAUUUCAGCAUAUGAAUUUUGGGAGGACAUAAACAUUCGCUUCAUUGCCGAUGGCUAUAAUAAAAAAGAUGGACAAACACAGGUUAUCCAGGAUGUGGAGAAUUUGGAACCUUCAUUCGUUGGUGGUGGGAAUGUAAAAUGGGGCAGGUGGUUUGGAAGAUAGUUUGGCAGUUCCUCAAAAAGUUAAACAUAGAAUAACUAUAUGACCCACUAAUUCCACUCCUAGGUAUAUAUAUACCCAAGAGAAACGAAAACAUGUGUCCACACAAAAUUGUACGCCAAUGUUCGUAGCAGUGUAAUUCAUAAGAGCCAAAGGCGGAAAAAACCCUAAUGUCCAUUAACUGACAAAUGGGUAAACAAAAUGUGGUAUAUCCAUACAGUGGAAUAUUAUUCAGCACAAAAAGGAAUGAAAUGCUGAUAAAUACUACAACAUGGGUAAACUUUGAAAAUAUAUGCUAAGUGGAAGAAGCCAGACACAAAAGACUUCAUACUGUAUUAUUCCUUUUACAUGAAGCAUCUAGCAUAGACAAGUCCUUAGAGACAGAAAGUAAAUUGGUAGUUGCCAGGGACCAGGGGAGGGGAAAUAGGGAGUUUCUUCUAAUGGGUAUAGGUUGGUUUUUUUGGCAGGUGAUGAAAAUGUUCUAGAAUUAGAUAGUGAUGAUGGUUACACAACUUUGUGGAUAUACUAAAAACCCCUGAGCUGUACACUUUAAUAGGGUGAAUUUUGUGGCAUAUGAAUUAUAUCUCAAUAUACAGGCAAAAAAAAAAAGGAAAAGAAAAAGAACACCCAUCUCCCCUCAUGAAGCAGCAGCAUUUGUAGGCACAGUGUGGUCUAAAUCCAUUCUUGGAAAAUAAAUUUACCAAAGGAAACAUUCUGCAUGCAGAGAGCUUUAAAAAAACCAACAGAAGGGGCUGGCCCCGUGGCCGAGUGGUUAAGUUCGUGCGCUCUGCUGCAGGCGGCCCAGUGUUUCGUUAGUUCGAAUCCUGGGCGCAGACAUGGCACUGCUCAUCGGACCACGCUGAGGCAGCGUCCCACAUGCCACAACUAGAAGAACCCACAACGAAGAAUAUACAAGGGACAGCCCUGUUGUUAACUCUGGUGCACUCCGCUUCAGCGGCCCGGGUUCGCUGGUUCAGAUCCCAGACGUGGACCUACACCACUUGUCAAGCCAGGCUGUGGUGGUGAUCCACAUAAAAAAGAGAGGAGGAUUGACACAGAUCUGUAUCUUCCUCAAGCAAAAAAUGAGGAAGAUUGACAACAGAUGUUGGCUCAGAGAGAAUCUUCCUCACCAAAGAAAAAAAAUUGCUUUCCAGAAAGAUAUAUCAAUUUAUAUUUUCACCAUCAGCAUUCUAUUAGUACAACUGAGGAGGGGCAUCUUUUUACACAGUUAAUGGCCAUUUAUUUUUCUUCUGUGAAUUGCCUUCUCCUUUCUACCUAUUUUUCUAUUGUGUUAUUUGGUUUUUCCUUAUAUUUUUGUAAAAGUUCAUGC